GGGGCUGUGGCUCAGUGGUAGAGCGCUCGCCUAGCAUGCCUGAGGCACAGGGUUCGAUUCUCAGCACCA
Molecule: non-coding RNA, 69 nt
Organism: Ictidomys tridecemlineatus (thirteen-lined ground squirrel)
Lineage: Eukaryota; Metazoa; Chordata; Mammalia; Rodentia; Sciuridae
Source: Rfam